Puntigrus tetrazona (Sumatra barb) is the source of this 799-nucleotide long non-coding RNA. RefSeq lists it as uncharacterized. Lineage: Eukaryota; Metazoa; Chordata; Actinopteri; Cypriniformes; Cyprinidae. The record is from RefSeq and is a predicted model, not a curated record. The transcript has 3 exons.
CGGCGAACAGGCGGCGCUAGCGAACGGGUUAGCGCUUUUACCUGAGGAGUGAUUGAAAGCAACAAAGGGUGACAUCUGUAUGGCUGUUUUUCUCCCCCUUUGUGUAAAAAUCAGCUCUUCAGACAGACAGUUUAUUGGCGCUGGGCCCCACCCAUCGGUCACGCCCACUGAGCAGGAUGAUGGGAAAAAGUGCAAACAUACGCAGAAACGGCAAUGAAGAGAGAACACGACUGGCUGGGACAUUUUACAAUGUGUUGAUGUGGCGCGCGCGUUUGGGUUAAUGAAGAUUAUUUUGGGUGGGAUGGAAGAACAAGUUCCUUAUUGAAGCUUAAAACCGAAUUAGGAGCAGAUUCAUAUCAAAAACCAUCACCUUAAAAGGGUCAGUUCACACAAAAAUGAGUCAUUAUCUACUCAUCUUUAUGUUAAUCUUAACCCAUCUGCAGUGUUUUAAAAUAUAAAAAUAUUUAAAAUACUUCUUAAUACUUCUUAAGUAUGUUAAAUUGGUAAUUUGUUACAUUAUAUAUGUGAUGUAUCAUUCUGAUAUGUUAAAUUGGCACAAGAUUAUCCUGCCAUGUGACAAACUAAUUAUGUCAAAAGUAAUCUAAAAGUAAUUAACAAACACUAAAACGUGUAACCUAAUACGACAUUAUUGACUGGACAUCAUGUAGUUUGGAAUCAGUAACAGAUAAUAAUUUUGUUAGCAUUUAUUAGAAAUCUAGAAAGCUGCCCAUCUGCCAAACAAUCAUCAAACAAUGUACAGCUCAUGCAUUAUAUUUCAUGAAAAAUAAAUAAAAUGUAA